AUACACAUAUAUAUAUGUAUAUAUGUAUACACAAACUAAAUAUGUAUACAUAUAUAAUAUAUGUGUAUAUACAAAGUAAAUGAACUGGAGCGAUA
Molecule: microRNA precursor, 95 nt
Filed under: Sorex araneus (European shrew)
Lineage: Eukaryota; Metazoa; Chordata; Mammalia; Eulipotyphla; Soricidae
Description: miRNA (ENSSARG00000017260.1)
Source: RNAcentral